This 242-nucleotide unclassified non-coding RNA is filed under the name Hevea brasiliensis (rubber tree). Lineage: Eukaryota; Viridiplantae; Streptophyta; Magnoliopsida; Malpighiales; Euphorbiaceae. The record is from RNAcentral.
AAAAAAAAAAAAAAAAGAAUAGAAGAUUGAAAGUUUUGAAUAUGAAACAUCAUGUUAAAUGACAAGUCUGUGAGUCAUCUUAGAAGUUACCAUUUACAAAGCUAUUCUAAACAAGAUAAAACUACCACAUAAAUUGCAGAAACAGAUAAAAACUUUCCAAAACAUUUUUCAAAUGAAGCCAACAAGAACAAGGAAAAAAAAAAUCCAAAACCCUGCAAUUGAAACACUCACCAACAAAUUCA